UACAGAGGGUGCAAGCGUUAAUCGGAAUUACUGGGCGUAAAGCGUGCGCAGGCGGGGAUGUAAGGCAGAUGUGAACUCCCCGGGCUCAACCUGGGAACUGCAUUUGUGACUGCAUCGCUGGAGUGCGGCAGAGGGGGAUGGAAUUCCGCGUGUAGCAGUGAAAUGCGUAGAUAUGCGGAGGAACACCGAUGGCGAAGGCAAUCCCCUGGGCCUGCACUGACGCUCAUGCACGAAAGCGUGGGGAGCAAACAGG
RNAcentral lists this ribosomal RNA (253 nucleotides) under uncultured bacterium. Its description in RNAcentral is "partial 16S ribosomal RNA". It matches the Rfam family "Bacterial small subunit ribosomal RNA", at positions 524 to 776 of the family's 1533-position model. The record is from RNAcentral.